RNAcentral lists this ribosomal RNA (453 nucleotides) under uncultured bacterium. Its description in RNAcentral is "partial 16S ribosomal RNA". It matches the Rfam family "Bacterial small subunit ribosomal RNA", at positions 28 to 506 of the family's 1533-position model. The record is from RNAcentral.
GAUGAACGCUGACAGAAUGCUUAACACAUGCAAGUCAACUUGAACUUCGGUUUGGGUGGCGGACGGGUGAGUAACGCGUAAAGAACUUGCCUCACAGAUAGGGACAACAUUUGGAAACGAAUGCUAAUACCUGAUAUUAUGAUUAUAUGGCAUCGUAUAAUUAUGAAAGCUAUAUGCGCUGUGAGAGAGCUUUGCGUCCCAUUAGCUAGUUGGAGAGGUAACGGCUCACCAAGGCGAUGAUGGGUAGCCGGCCUGAGAGGGUGAUCGGCCACAAGGGGACUGAGACACGGCCCUUACUCCUACGGGAGGCAGCAGUGGGGAAUAUUGGACAAUGGACCAAGAGUCUGAUCCAGCAAUUCUGUGUGCACGAUGAAGUUUUUCGGAAUGUAAAGUGCUUUCAGUUGGGAAGAAAAAAAUGACGGUACCAACAGAAGAAGUGACGGCUAAAUACGU